UUGGAGGGCAAGUCUGGUGCCAGCAGCCGCGGUAAUUCCAGCUCCAAUAGCGUAUAUUAAAGUUGUUGCAGUUAAAAAGCUCGUAGUUGAAUUUCGGGAUCAGUUGGUCGGUCGUGCCUCGGUACGUACUGGUCAAAUUGAUUCCUACCUUCUGACGAACCACGAUGUCAUUAAUUUGGUGUCGUGGGAAAUCAGGACUGUUACUUUGAAAAAAUUAGAGUGUUUAGAGCAGGCUCGCGCUUGAAUACAUUAGCAUGGAAUAAUGAAAUAGGACGUUUGAUUCUAUUUUGUUGGUUUCUAGGAUCGACGUAAUGAUUAAUAGGGAUAGUUGGGGGCAUUAGUAUUCAAUUGUCAGAGGUGAAAUUCUUGGAUUUAUUGAAGACUAACUACUGCGAAAGCAUUUGCCAAGGAUGUUUUCAUUAAUCAAGGACGAAAGUUAGGGGAUCGGAGACGAUCAGAUACCGUCGUAGUCUUAACCAUAAACUAUGCCGACUAGGGAUCGGAUGAUGUUAAUUUUUUAAUGACUCAUUCGGCGCCUUACGGGAAACCAAAGUGUUUGGGUUC
This 564-nucleotide ribosomal RNA is filed under the name uncultured Glomeromycotina. Its description in RNAcentral is "SSU rRNA". It matches the Rfam family "Eukaryotic small subunit ribosomal RNA", at positions 548 to 1114 of the family's 1831-position model. Lineage: Eukaryota; Fungi; Glomeromycota. The record is from RNAcentral.